GAAAUGCGAUAAGUAAUGUGAAUUGCAGAAUUCAGUGAAUCAUCGAAUCUUUGAACGCACAUUGCGCCCCGUGGUAUUCCGCGGGGCAUGCCUGUUCGAGCGUCAUUUAAACCAAUCCAGCUUACUGGGUCUUGGGCACCGCCUCCGGGCGGGCCUUAAAAUCAGUGGCGGCGCCACCUGGCUCUAAGCGUAGUAAUACUCCUCGCUACAGAGUCCCGGGUGGAGGCUGGCCAGAACCCCCCAUUUUAUCAGGUUGACCUCGGAUCAGGUAGGGAUACCCGCUGAACUUAA
Molecule: unclassified non-coding RNA, 291 nt
Filed under: uncultured Helotiales
Lineage: Eukaryota; Fungi; Ascomycota; Leotiomycetes; Helotiales
Description: sequence contains ITS1
Rfam family: 5.8S ribosomal RNA (bases 1-105)
Source: RNAcentral